This 182-nucleotide ribosomal RNA is filed under the name uncultured bacterium. RNAcentral describes it as "partial 16S ribosomal RNA". It matches the Rfam family "Bacterial small subunit ribosomal RNA", at positions 1319 to 1500 of the family's 1533-position model. The record is from RNAcentral.
CACGAAGUUGGAAUUGCUAGUAAUCGUGGAUCAGCAUGCCACGGUGAAUACGUUCCCGGGUCUUGUACACACCGCCCGUCACACCAUGGGAGCCGGUAAUACCCGAAGUCAGUAGUCUAACCGCAAGGAGGACGCUGCCGAAGGUAGGAUUGGCGACUGGGGUGAAGUCGUAACAAGGUACC